ACAUUGUCCUUGCUCGAUGUAGAAACAGGUGAACAGUUUUGGAACACUGAGCCAUUGACUGCACCAGGUGGCUGUGUUGAGAGUGGGUCGCUUUUGACAAUAAGGCACCGUGCUACAGCCAUAUAGUUUUGAACCUAGAAGAAGGCCAGGAGACGGGAGUAUGCAAAAAGAUUGACCUGGAUGGGCAAGGGGAAUGUCCAGUUGGGUAGAAAAACAUAGUUUGUCAUUUGAUUUCUUGGAGCCUGGGGGAGAUACCAUACUACAAGUCAGGAUAUUUCUCUGCAUCCAGGUGGAGGCUUGCUACCAGCAAGAACAUGGAGCACUCUGUGUCCGUGCUAGAGACAGAAUGGUCCUGGGACCUACAGAGCCUUCUGACCAACUACAUGCAAUCUCUCCAGAGCACAGACAAGUGAGUCUGCUGGGCCAUGGAACACAUAAAAAAACAGCCACCCUGUUGUCAGCUAUAUGCUGACAGUCCCCCGAGGAAGGAGACAACUAUCAAGGCUUUCAAAGGCCACAUUUUUUGGAUGACUAAAUGCAAUAACAUUUUUAGAAACUCAUUUAAAUUGUAUUGUUAGAUUACAAAACAAUAACUUUCAAAGAAUGUUUGUCAUGUAGGUCUUCACACUAACUUUGACUAACUUCUGUGGUAACUUAAACACAAAGACAACACUUGGGAGCUUGCGAUUCAAAAGGUCUAAAUUAAAUGCAUGUCCAGGGUGAAUGAAUGUUUAUUAAUAUAUAUCAGAAACAUCACACAGGUGUGUCAAAUAAAAUAUAUAUCCCAGACAAGAUUGAAGAAUUGGACAAGUAGAAAAAGUGAAAAUAAGUCUAUGAUUCUGUCCAGACCAGUUGUAUGAAUUUGAGUGCUUAUAUACAGUACCAGUCAACAUUUUGGGCAAACUUACUCAUUCAAGGGUUUUUCUUUAUUUUUAAUAUUUA
This is a long non-coding RNA of Oncorhynchus tshawytscha (Chinook salmon), 942 nucleotides long. RefSeq lists it as uncharacterized. The transcript is spliced from 4 exons. The record is from RefSeq and is a predicted model, not a curated record. Lineage: Eukaryota; Metazoa; Chordata; Actinopteri; Salmoniformes; Salmonidae.